ACAGCAUACACACUCUCUAGCUAUCCAUCGCCACACAUAACAAUGCAGGUUCUUUCUUACAUAUUGUUAGCAAUUAUGCUGUUUUUCGGAGCUUUUGGACCCGGUGCAAGAACUUGCUAUGCCGUCCGAUAUCUCAAUAAAAUGGAGCAUUCAAGAACGGGAUUACGUGCGUUUCAGAAGAGGACAAUUCCCGCACCUUGGGUAUCUCCUCCUACUCUAAACGUAAGGCACGGUCAUUUAGUACCACCAUCAGGUCCAUCACGACGACGUCCACCACCCCCUGGAACCAUAUAUUAAGAUGGAUCUAAAUCGUCUUUCCUCCAUUUUCUUAGAGGGGUUCUUGUGAUUUCUAGUUCUCAACUAGGUUUGAUCUCCUAAUGUUUCGUUUCUGUAUUAAUUCUCAGCUGUUUAAUAUCCUUGCUAUCAUGUAUUGAAUAAUUUAUCAUAAGCAAAUGCCUCUUCCUUUUAUUACACGUUUCAAUUUCUUGUUCUUUUUAAGGUAGUAAUAGCGAUACUCAAACGAAAAAAAAAAAUCU
RNAcentral lists this long non-coding RNA (536 nucleotides) under Populus trichocarpa (black cottonwood). Its description in RNAcentral is "long non-coding RNA (PTRI_LNC004503)". The record is from RNAcentral. Lineage: Eukaryota; Viridiplantae; Streptophyta; Magnoliopsida; Malpighiales; Salicaceae.